GGCAAUCAGGUCCCCUCCUUCACCCCUUUCUCUUACUCUUUUAAACUUCCUGUAGACUCCUUCCGUCUCUAACCCGCCUACUGAUUUUUCUUUUGUUUCUGUGUUUAUUGGGUAUAGUUUUUUUCUUUAGCAAUGGAGGUGGGUAGUGUCAGUUCUGUGGAGAGGACCUUGUGGGCAUGCUCUGUUAUGGAAGCUAUGGUGGUAGAGACUGCACUUGCAGCUUGGAAGUCUCUUGCUUAUCUGUUCUUUGUGGUAUUACAUCUUCCAUUAACCCUUUUUCUUUAUCUAUUAGUCUCUACUUGUCAAUAACUAGUGUUUCUGAAGUCGCUGGCUGCUCUUAUUGUUGCAUUUCUUCUUCUUGCUGUUUAUUGAUUUGUGGCUGUUGUUCCUGAUAUUUGUUGUUUCUUCUUUGUUCUGCUUUGUGGGUUAAUUGUAUUUUGAUGGUUCUUGCUCUGGAUUUUAUGAAUUAGGGCUUUCUUUCUUAACUAGCGUGAACAUGAGCAUGACUCUGUGUAGGUGCGUUAAGAUUUCAUGGUACUGUCUUUUCUCUUUGACAAAUUAUUCCCCUUUGAGGGCAUCUUUUUCCUGGGUGGUUAUUCCACUGGAUUUUUCCAACUGGGGGCUUUGUUGCUUAACUAAUGUGGGCUCAGCGUGACUGUGUGUGGGUGUGUUGAAAUUUCACGGUACUGUCUUGUCUUCUUUGACAAACAUACCCAUCAAUUUAGCAGUUAUGAUUUUUUUUUUAUGUAGAAAGUACCCCUUCUGUUAUCUGUGGCUUUAUGAAGUUCUGUUUUUGAGACGAGUAUUAUUUGCUCUGGCUAGUCAGGUAGAAGUUAUGGACUGACAAUAGCCUGUACAUUAUUUUAAUUAUUGUUUAAUUGUUUACUUAUUCCUUUUCUGGCUUUUAUGGGAUUGUCUCAGUUGUUUGUGGUCUGGAAUAGUACUUGCCCAAAUUAGGUGUUAUGUUAGUGUGGUUUCUUUUUGGUCCAUAGUUAAUGGCUUUCUUAAAUGGAAUCUCAUUAUUAUGAUUGCAUUUUACUGUUAAGAAAUAAGACUUGUUCCUGCAACAGAACAACACCAUCUUAAAGUUUUUAGUUGGUAGAUGCUUGAGGGAUCAUACUGUUUUAGUGUUUUUCGUAUUUAAUUAGCAUAGAAUAGCUCAGUUGUUAUACACGACUUUUAAUUACUGGCUUUGAAGCUGUUGUGGACAUUUCUUUACCCUAUUUGGUACUUGCUUUAUUUUCUUUAUUAUUAUUAUUAUCAUUGUAUUGUUUUAGUGGGUGCAUUGUUUUCAUUUGAAUUACCAGUAGACAGAACAGAAAAGCUUCAAUUUCAGAAAUUUAGAGAACAGAAAUAAGGGGCUGACAGAAAUCUACCUUAUAACCAAAAUAUAGUCUUAGGGAUGAGGAAGACAAUUUCUUUUAGAGCCUAGCUUAAGUUGGUAUAGAUGUGAUAUC
This 1457-nucleotide unclassified non-coding RNA is filed under the name Hevea brasiliensis (rubber tree). The record is from RNAcentral. Lineage: Eukaryota; Viridiplantae; Streptophyta; Magnoliopsida; Malpighiales; Euphorbiaceae.